This 598-nucleotide ribosomal RNA is filed under the name uncultured Gammaproteobacteria bacterium. Its description in RNAcentral is "partial 16S ribosomal RNA". The record is from RNAcentral. Lineage: Bacteria; Pseudomonadati; Pseudomonadota; Gammaproteobacteria.
GGGAGCUCUCCCAUAUGGUCGACCUGCAGGCGGCCGCGAAUUCACUAGUGAUUCGUAUUACCGCGGCUGCUGGCACAGAGUUAGCCGGUGCUUAUUCUGCGGGUACCGUCAUAGCAACGAGUUAUUCGCUCGUUACCUUUCUUCCCCACCUAAAGUGCUUUACAACCCGAAGGUCUUCUUCACACACGCGGCAUCGCUGGAUCAGGGUUUCCCCCAUUGUCCAAGAUUCCCCACUGCUGCCUCCCGUAGGAGUCUGGGCCGUGUCUCAGUUCCAGUGUGACUGAUCAUCCUCUCAGACCAGUUACGGAUCGUCGCCUUGGUGAGCCAUUACCCCACCAACUAGCUAAUCCGACCUAGGCUCAUCUGAUAGCGCAAGGCCCGAAGGUCCCCUGCUUUCUCCCGUAGGACGUAUGCGGUAUUAGCGUCCGUUUCCGAGCGUUAUCCCCCACUACCAGGCAGAUUCCUAGGCAUUACUCACCCGUCCGCCGCUCUCAAGAGAAGCAAGCUUCUCUCUACCGCUCGACUUGCAUGUGUUAGGCCUGCCCCCAGCGUUCAAUCUGAGCCAUGAUCAAACUCUAAUCGAAUUCCCGCGGCCGCC